GAUGAACGCUGGCGGCGUGCCUAAUACAUGCAAGUCGAACGCACAGCGAAAGGUGCUUGCACCUUUCAAGUGAGUGGCGAACGGGUGAGUAACACGUGGACAACCUGCCUCAAGGCUGGGGAUAACAUUUGGAAACAGAUGCUAAUACCGAAUAAAACUUAGUGUCGCAUGACAAAAAGUUAAAAGGCGCUUCGGCGUCACCUAGAGAUGGAUCCGCGGUGCAUUAGUUAGUUGGUGGGGUAAAGGCCUACCAAGACAAUGAUGCAUAGCCGAGUUGAGAGACUGAUCGGCCACAUUGGGACUGAGACACGGCCCAAACUCCUACGGGAGGCUGCAGUAGGGAAUCUUCCACAAUGGGCGAAAGCUUGAUGGAGCAACGCCGCGUGUGUGAUGAAGGCUUUCGGGUCGUAAAGCACUGUUGUAUGGGAAGAACAGUUAGAAUAGGAAAUGAUUUUAGUUUGACGGUACCAUACCAGAAAGGGACGGCUAAAUACGUGCCAGCAGCCGCCGUAA
Molecule: ribosomal RNA, 513 nt
Filed under: uncultured bacterium
Lineage: Bacteria
Description: partial 16S ribosomal RNA
Rfam family: Bacterial small subunit ribosomal RNA
Source: RNAcentral